RNAcentral lists this ribosomal RNA (449 nucleotides) under uncultured bacterium. Its description in RNAcentral is "partial 16S ribosomal RNA". It matches the Rfam family "Bacterial small subunit ribosomal RNA", at positions 29 to 523 of the family's 1533-position model. The record is from RNAcentral.
AGCGAACGCUGGCGGCAGGCCUAAAACAUGCAAGUCGAACGCCGUAGCAAUACGGAGUGGCAGACGGGUGAGUAACACGUGGGAACGUGCCCUUUGGUUCGGAACAACACAGGGAAACUUGUGCUAAUACCGGAUAAGCCCUUACGGGGAAAGAUCUAUCGCCGAAGGAUCGGCCCGCGUCUGAUUAGCUAGUUGGUGGGGUAACGGCCCACCAAGGCUACGAUCAGUAGCUGGUCUGAGAGGAUGAUCAGCCACACUGGGACUGAGACACGGCCCAGACUCCUACGGGAGGCAGCAGUUAGGAAUCUUGGACAAUGGGCGCAAGCCUGAUCCAGCCAUGCCGCGUGAGUGAUGAAGGCCUUAGGGUUGUAAAGCUCUUUCAGCGGGGAAGAUAAUGACGGUACCCGCAGAAGAAGCCCCGGCUAACUUCGUGCCAGCCGCCGCCGUAA